GCGCGCACGCCGUACACUGUCGAACGCCCGUCGCAUUUCGCCAAUCCAAUCAGUAUCAUACCGAGUCUCAUCGUAAACGGACCCCGGCCUUCAUACCGGCCUAUCUACAACACCGUGUAACCCCUAAAAACCAAAAACUCAUCCUACAAACGUAGUGCAUAACAUAAAAGACAAAAAAAGUUAUUAGUGACACUUCACGCCUAAAAAUGGAUUCCGACACCGUCGAGGAGACGUACGAGGAAGUGCGAAGUACCAAAACAGUGCGGCGCAGCAUCAAAAUCGAAGAAGAUGACAAAGGAGUUGACAGCGAAGACGAGACGUCGUCGAAAACCAAAACCACAACAAUGACCACCCCGGCGAAGCUCUACGGUAAAGAUCUCAGCGAAUACGAUGAAAUCGACGUCGAGGAGCUGCUUGCUAAGCUGUCACCUGAAGAAAUAAAUAUUCUUGCCAAAGAAGUUGAUCCUGAUGAUAGUUUCUUGCCACCUUCACAAAGAUGCAGUUAUGAUUGUGAAAAAGAACCAACUGGACCACUCAAUCGCAAGCAACUCAUCGAACACAUCAAUAAACAGGCUCUGGAAACACCAGACCAGCCUGAGUUGAAGCCAUAUGUGGCUGGGACAAUUCGUGGCAAGAAAUGGAUCCCACCGCCAAUUCCAAUCAAAGAACAAGAAGCAGGUGAACAGAUAGCCAUUGAUAUGGGUGAUGAGUAUGAACAGGCUUUGUCAGAAGCCACACAAGAGGAGAUCAUUGACUUGGCUGCUAUUCUCGGCUUCCACUCGAUGAUGAAUCAGGAUCAGUACCAUGCGUCGCUGCUGAACAAGGGACAGCCGGUGGGCAUGGGCUGGGACGGCAUUACGAAAGCUUCCAAGCAGAAGCUGUUUCCUGCCGAGCCGCCAAACAACACCGAUCCGGACGAAACCAUCAAACAGGUGCAGAACGACGAUCCUAAACUGAUUGACCUCAAUUGGAAUAAUAUUAAGAAUAUCUCUGAUGAAAAGUUUGAAAGCUUAUUCGAAGCGCUCAAAGAAAACACACACCUCGAAACGCUCAACCUAGUCAAUGUGGGUCUGAGCGACCGGCACUCGAACAAACUGGCCGAUGCGCUGGAGCUCAACCACACCAUUCGAGUGCUCAACGUUGAGACCAACUUCAUCUCGCCUGCGGGUAUCGUUCGCCUGGUCAAAGCCCUGCUUAAGACGAAAUCCAUGGAAGAAUUCAGAGGAACAAAUCAGAGAUCGAGCGUGUUGGGUAACAAAAUCGAAAUGGAAAUCACAAACCUCGUGGAGAAGAAUCCGACGCUGCUGAGGUUGGGCUUGCAUUUAGAGUACAACGAUGCGCGUCACCGCAUCGCCACACAUUUACAACGCAACGUUGACACAAAUGGGCGUGUAAUGAAAGCGAAUUACAAGAUAACGCUGGGCGCUUCGGGCGCCGCGAUUAAGAUUGAGCAAACGUUGUGAAUUCAGGGUGUGAUCAGGUGCGAAGCGUUGAGCGAACAUGCAACGUCGGUCUCGGCUGGGAGCGACCAGCUCGUAGUGUGCGCGCUUUGUGUCGCAAUAAAUGGGACGCCAGCGCCGCAUCGGCCUUCCGCGCAACUACCUGGUCGGAUGGAUCAAUUAGACAUUAAGUCUUCUCCAGAGCUGCAAACAUCGCUUCUUUUGCACUACAACACACACACAUCCACACACAAUACAAUUCUCUCCAACACUGCGAACAAAGCAUUCAGUAGCCGGAUCGCGAUUCCUAGCCGCCGCCGCACGGGCUUCAUUAAUUGUACUACUAACCUAACAUAAUGGAUAAAGUUAAUGAUUAAUUUAUAAAACAAAUGCUGAUGGAAUGGACAACUUUCAACCAACAUCGCCCAGACAUGAAUAAGAUAAAUUCUACUCUACUAUAUACAUUUAUGAAAUAACGUCGUAACAUUAAUUUAUUUCUAAGUUUAUACAUAUACAUAUAUCGUACAUUUUAGGUAGACACACCAGUAGAUCGUACAACGAUUACUUUUUAAUUCAUAUAUAGUUCGAUUGUAUUAAGUGUCGCGUUGUUAUAGUUUUGUUCAACAUCUUCGUUCUAGUAUUUGUAUUUUGUUUGCCUGCCAAAUCGGAUCUAUCAAACAGUUUAUCACUGCCAAAAUUCAAACGUAAAUAAUUCUUAUUGUGAUAAACUUUAAUUGAAAUUGCAAAUAUCUACAAAUUGAUUCAUAUAGGCAAAUUGUUAUUGAGUUGUUAGGAUGUGAACAUUGUUUAUUUUUAUUUGUUUUAUCAUUUGAUUCAAUGAUUUAUUGACGUGGAGAGGUGAACUGACCUAUAUUAUUGAUUAUAACUUGUAAAUUUAUCGCCUAGAGAUGAUAAUGAAUAAAUGUAAAAGAGAUUUUAAUCGUCAA
RNA transcript from Dalotia coriaria, 2386 nucleotides. It is a transcript of the gene named tropomodulin, with no coding region annotated. Lineage: Eukaryota; Metazoa; Arthropoda; Insecta; Coleoptera; Staphylinidae. The transcript has 11 exons. The record is from RefSeq and is a predicted model, not a curated record.